CCUACGGGGGGCUGCAGUGGGGAAUAUUGGACAAUGGGCGGAAGCCUGAUCCAGCAAUACCGCGUGUGUGAAGAAGGCCUGAGGGUUGUAAAGCACUUUCAAUAGGAAGGAAUACCUAUCCAUUAAUACUGGGUAGACUGACAUUACCUAUACAAGAAGCACCGGCUAACUCCGUGCCAGCAGCCGCGGUAAUACGGAGGCUGCAAGCGUUGAUGUGAAUUACUGGGCGUAAGCUCUGUAAAUCAGGCUCGAAAGCCCCGGGCUUAACCUGGGAAUGGCAUUUGAUACUGGCGAGCUAGAGUUGAGUAGAGGGGAGUGGAAUUUCAGGUGUAGCGGUGAAAUGCGUAGAGAUCUGAAGGAACACCAGUGGCGAAGGCGACUCCCUGGACUCAAACUGACGCUGAGGUACGAAAGCGUGGGUAGCAAACAGGAUUAGAUACCCGAGUAGUC
This 450-nucleotide ribosomal RNA is filed under the name uncultured bacterium. RNAcentral's name for it is "partial 16S ribosomal RNA". It matches the Rfam family "Bacterial small subunit ribosomal RNA", at positions 338 to 795 of the family's 1533-position model. The record is from RNAcentral.